RNAcentral lists this ribosomal RNA (253 nucleotides) under uncultured bacterium. RNAcentral's name for it is "partial 16S ribosomal RNA". It matches the Rfam family "Bacterial small subunit ribosomal RNA", at positions 524 to 776 of the family's 1533-position model. The record is from RNAcentral.
UACGUAGGGUGCAAGCGUUAAUCGGCAUUACUGGGCGUAAAGCGUGCGCAGGCGGCUUUGCAAGCCAGAUGUGAAAUCCCCGGGCUCAACCUGGGAACUGCAUUUGUGACUGCAUGGCUCGAGUCCGGGAGAGGGGGGUGGAAUUCCCAGUGUAGCGGUGAAAUGCGUAGAUAUUGGGAGGAACACCGGUGGCGAAGGCGGCCCCCUGGACCGGGACUGACGCUGAGGCGCGAAAGCGUGGGGAGCGAACAGG